This 129-nucleotide small RNA is filed under the name Pseudomonadales bacterium. RNAcentral describes it as "RtT sRNA". It matches the Rfam family "RtT RNA". From Rfam's summary of the family: This family represents a bacterial cis-regulatory element known as RtT RNA. RNAcentral also lists the same sequence under 1 other name. Lineage: Bacteria; Pseudomonadati; Pseudomonadota; Gammaproteobacteria; Pseudomonadales. The record is from RNAcentral.
CAGGAGUCGCGUCGGGGGUGGAUUUGAACCACAUGGUUCGACUGAACGGCGUAGCCGUUCAGAGCGCCGCUUUAGCGGCGACCCGGAGGGUGAGGGGCGUAGCCCCGAAUAAUCCACCCCCCUCCACCA